This 255-nucleotide ribosomal RNA is filed under the name uncultured bacterium. Its description in RNAcentral is "partial 16S ribosomal RNA". It matches the Rfam family "Bacterial small subunit ribosomal RNA", at positions 524 to 777 of the family's 1533-position model. The record is from RNAcentral.
GACAGAGGCCCCAAGCGUUUAGGCGGAAUCACUGGGCUUAAAGCGUGUGUAGGCGGACGCCUAAGUGUCUUGUGAAAUCCCACGGCUCACCCGUGGAACUGCUGGGCAUACUGGGCGUCUUGGGCCAACUAGGGGCAGCCGGAACAAGCGGUGGAGCGGUGAAAUGCGUAGAUAUCGCUUGGAACGCCGAAGGUGAAAACAGGCUGCUGGGGUUGCGCCGACGCUGAGACACGAAAGCCAGGGGAGCAAACGGGG